AAAAACCACACCAUGGCUGUGCUGGCUGUAAUUUAAAUAGCUUGGUAUAUUUGGUCACCUCUUUGUAAACAAUGCUGAUUAUAAAAGCUUUUUUAAAAAGCAUCUUUUUAAGCUUUUUUAAGCAUUUCUUUUAAAAAGAGACAUAAUUUUGUGACAUGUUUUUUUGGUCUCUGUAAUUUUAAUCAUUUGGUUACCCUUUAUGAUCACAAACUGACUUUUAAAAUUUGUUUCAAUCAGAUUCUCAAAAUUUGCAUUUUGUAUAUAAUGUGGAUAUGUGAAGUUAUUACCAUUGGCACUUUUUUGAAUCAAGAAGUCAAGAUUAUAUUUCUCAUUUUAAUUGGAUUUGAAAGAAGCUAGCAAAACUUAGAUCCCUCAAGAGGAUCAUUGUAAUUGGGGUGUUAAAGUUUAUGUACCAGUGAAUUUUUGAAACCGUAUCUUUGGAAGAGCACCUUAAUAAUCCUGAUCAAUUUCAGAUCUUUAUUCUGUAUUUAUAAUUUUUAUACUCUGGGGAUUUCUUUCAUAUUUUCCUCUCAGAUUGAUGUUCAGGAAGUGCUAAGAGAGCCACCUUUAUGAGCACAAUGAUGGGAAAGAGCCAUCUCUCUCUGAGCCCAGUAGAACAGGUG
This 623-nucleotide long non-coding RNA is filed under the name Bos taurus (domestic cattle). Its description in RNAcentral is "long non-coding RNA NONBTAT008262". Lineage: Eukaryota; Metazoa; Chordata; Mammalia; Artiodactyla; Bovidae. The record is from RNAcentral.